AUUUAUAUAGUUUAAAUUAAAACUUUACAUUUUCAUUGUAAAAAUAAAAAAAUUUUUUUAUAAAUA
Molecule: transfer RNA, 66 nt
Filed under: Spodoptera exempta
Lineage: Eukaryota; Metazoa; Arthropoda; Insecta; Lepidoptera; Noctuidae
Also listed under: 4 other names
Description: tRNA-Glu
Source: RNAcentral